RNAcentral lists this ribosomal RNA (253 nucleotides) under uncultured bacterium. RNAcentral's name for it is "partial 16S ribosomal RNA". It matches the Rfam family "Bacterial small subunit ribosomal RNA", at positions 524 to 776 of the family's 1533-position model. The record is from RNAcentral.
UACAGAGGGGGCAAGCGUUGUUCGGAAUUACUGGGCGUAAAGGGCGCGUAGGCGGCCUGUUAAGUCGAACGUGAAAUCCCCGGGCUCAACCCGGGAACUGCGUCCGAUACUGGCAGGCUUGAAUCCGGGAGAGGGAUGCGGAAUUCCAGGUGUAGCGGUGAAAUGCGCAGAUAUCAGGAGGAACACCAAUGGCGAAGGCAGCUCGCUGGGACGUGACUGACGCUGAGACGCGAAAGCGUGGGGAGCAAACAGG